UACGGAGGAUGCGAGCGUUAUCCGGAUUUAUUGGGUUUAAAGGGUGCGUAGGCGGGCUUUUAGGUCAGCGGUAAAAAUUCGGGGCUCAACCCCGUCCGGCCGUUGAAACUGGGGAUCUUGAGUGGGCGAGAAGAAGGCGGAAUGCGUGGUGUAGCGGUGAAAUGCAUAGAUAUCACGCAGAACCCCGAUUGCGAAGGCAGCCUUCCGGCGCCCUACUGACGCUGAGGCACGAAAGUGCGGGGAUCGAACAGG
RNAcentral lists this ribosomal RNA (252 nucleotides) under uncultured bacterium. RNAcentral describes it as "partial 16S ribosomal RNA". It matches the Rfam family "Bacterial small subunit ribosomal RNA", at positions 524 to 776 of the family's 1533-position model. The record is from RNAcentral.